GACGGAAAUCCUUAUAAGGUUACAAGCACAGCCACGUGUUAGACUCAAUAUGCUUCCAGGUAAUGGCUUUCUCUUAUCUCCGAUAAUAAAUUUGCUUUUUCCCACUGCUAAGCCAGUGGGGCUAUAUCUCCCGCUGCUCUCUAGUUCCACAUCAGCUACUUUCCUUCUCCAGAGUACCAGCUUGUUCCACUUAAACCUGAAGACCCUUGUUGCAAAGCCCCGUUGGUGGAUCAUCCUCAUGAAAGCAAGCGAAUAAGUCUGGAAACAGUUUCAGAUAUUUUAUCUGCAAUCCAACCACAAGACAAUUUAAGAGAGUUUCAUUUCCUAGUAGUGAAUUUGAGGAUCGUUUGAUUUCAUUGAACUUGGCAUUUCUAUCAUCUCACUUCACGAUCAAUUCCUUUAGGAAGAAGAUAUAUAAGACGACUUUUCUGAUUGACUUGUACUCUCCCGGGGCAGAUUUUGGAGCUGGAGUUUACUUACUAUAAGGGAGCGAGCGAUUCAUUGGUGCAGUGAGUGCCUCAGCUUCACUAUAUUUUGAUGUUGAGAGAGAGUGGUUAAACACAAUGCGAAUGCCUCCAGUCUCUAGGAGUAGGAACCCUCAGGAGAUGCCCUACUUUGGGGGGUACUCUCUUCGUCAUUUGCAUUAGAAUUUGAUGUUUUAAAGAUGGCAGGUGAUCCUUCUCGUUGGUUUGUGAUGAAUCAUGUCAAUCUCGAUCCCGUGAAAGCUGCAUUUCCUCAGAUAAUUUGGCAAGGUGAAGACGAAGUAUCAGAGAAGAAAGAGAAAGAAUCAACCCUAAUGAUAUUCGCUGAUGGUAGAGCCAUGUCAUAUAAUUUUAACAAUGGGACAUCAAUGGAGCUUUGUGAUUUAAAGCCAAAACGCUUCACCAGCCACUGCUGCAUUAAUCUAUGAACAGGGUAAUGCCUGUCAAUAUUUUGGAAGUCUUUACUUUUUAAAGGCAAAAUUGGUAUUAUCUUCCCAUCUCUUUUGAAAUUACGUCUUGUUCCUGCAGUAUGGAAUACGUUUGCUAUAGUUGGGACUAUGUUGUUGUUAAUUAGCAUCUAGUUUGGUAGCGUUGAUUUGCUGGUUUUAUGUUCAUUUCCAAUUAUGUAAGUAACAUGUUCUAUAGUUCAUCUUGCAUAUUAUGGGUUCAGUUGCAUAUACUAACAUGCUCGAUAGUUCAUCUGGUUGACAGGCUUUUUUAGUAGACAUUUUUAAUGGCUUUGCUCAUAUGAUCUUCAUUAGCUGAUGCUUCAGUGGAUUUGUGCAUGUAGCGUAUGCUUGUUUUUAAGUAAAACAUGACUUCAAAUUUGACAGUGUGCUGGAUACAACAUAUAAGAAUUCCUGUGAUUUGUGUUGAUAAAACGCAACACUAAUUUGAGUGAAACCUAAUGUUACAUGAGGCAUGGGAAACUACCUUUACAUUGGAGGCACACCCUCUAGUUAGCAUUGUUCCCU
Molecule: long non-coding RNA, 1456 nt
Filed under: Theobroma cacao (cacao)
Lineage: Eukaryota; Viridiplantae; Streptophyta; Magnoliopsida; Malvales; Malvaceae
Description: long non-coding RNA (TCAC_LNC003540)
Source: RNAcentral